RNAcentral lists this ribosomal RNA (408 nucleotides) under uncultured bacterium. RNAcentral's name for it is "partial 16S ribosomal RNA". It matches the Rfam family "Bacterial small subunit ribosomal RNA", at positions 28 to 526 of the family's 1533-position model. The record is from RNAcentral.
GACGAACGCUGGCGGCGUGCUUAACACAUGCAAGUCGAACGAAGUGGCGAACGGGUGAGUAACGCGUAAUCAACCUGCCCUUCAGAGGGGGACAACAGUUGGAAACGACUGCUAAUACCGCAUACUGAAGGAGGGGAUUGCGGCUGAUGAGCUAGUUGGAGGGGUAACGGCCCACCAAGGCGAUGAUCAGUAGCCGUGCUGUGAGUAUGACCUGCCACAUUGGGACUGAGACACGGCCCAGACUCCUACGGGAGGCAGCAGUGGGGAAUCUUCCGCAAUGGACGAAAGUCUGACGAAGCAACGCCGCGUGAGUGAUGACGGCCUUCGGGUUGUAAAGCUCUUUUAAUCGGGACGCGGUACCGGAAUAGAAAGCCACGGCUAACUACGUGCCAGCAGCCGCGGUAAUUC